RNAcentral lists this transfer RNA (88 nucleotides) under Streptococcus acidominimus. RNAcentral's name for it is "tRNA-Ser". It matches the Rfam family "tRNA". Rfam says of the family: Transfer RNA (tRNA) molecules are approximately 80 nucleotides in length. Their secondary structure includes four short double-helical elements and three loops (D, anti-codon, and T loops). Further hydrogen bonds mediate the characteristic L-shaped molecular structure. tRNAs have two regions of fundamental functional importance: the anti-codon, which is responsible for specific mRNA codon recognition, and the 3' end, to which the tRNAs corresponding amino acid is attached (by aminoacyl-tRNA synthetases). tRNAs cope with the degeneracy of the genetic code in two manners: having more than one tRNA (with a specific anti-codon) for a particular amino acid; and 'wobble' base-pairing, i.e. permitting non-standard base-pairing at the 3rd anti-codon position. Lineage: Bacteria; Bacillati; Bacillota; Bacilli; Lactobacillales; Streptococcaceae. RNAcentral also lists the same sequence under 1 other name. The record is from RNAcentral.
GGAGAGUUGGCAGAGUGGCUGAUUGCGUCCGUUUGCUAAACGGAUAGGGUGCAAAUCGCUCUCGCAGGUUCGAAUCCUGCACUCUCCG